GAUGAAGAACGCAGCGAAAUGCGAUAAGUAGUGUGAAUUGCAGAAUUCAGUGAAUCAUCGAAUCUUUGAACGCACAUUGCGCCCUUUGGUAUUCCAAAGGGCAUGCCUGUUCGAGCGUCAUUUGUACCCUCAAGCUCUGCUUGGUGUUGGGCGUCUUGUCUCCAGUUUCGCUGGAGACUCGCCUUAAAGUCAUUGGCAGCCGGCCUACUGGUUUCGGAGCGCAGCACAAGUCGCGCUCUCGUCCAGCCAAGGUCAGCAAUCCACAAAGCCUUUUUUUCAACUUUUGACCUCGGAUCAGGUAGGGAUACCCGCUGAACUUAAGCAUAUCAAAAGCGGAGGA
RNAcentral lists this unclassified non-coding RNA (340 nucleotides) under soil metagenome. RNAcentral's name for it is "partial contains 5.8S ribosomal RNA, internal transcribed spacer 2, and large subunit ribosomal RNA". The stretch from base 1 to 120 matches the Rfam family "5.8S ribosomal RNA", at positions 35 to 154 of the family's 154-position model. The record is from RNAcentral.